RNAcentral lists this ribosomal RNA (341 nucleotides) under uncultured bacterium. RNAcentral describes it as "bacterial SSU rRNA". It matches the Rfam family "Bacterial small subunit ribosomal RNA", at positions 29 to 383 of the family's 1533-position model. The record is from RNAcentral.
AAUGAACGUUGGCGGCGUGGAUUAGGCAUGCAAGUCGCGCGACAAGGAACCUUCGGGUUCUGGAGGAGCGGCAAACGGGGUAGUAAGGCAUCGGAACGUACCCUCUUGUUGGGAAUAGCCGCGGGAAACUGCGAGUAAUGCCCAAUAAUCCCUACGGGGCAAAGGUCCGCCGCAGGAGGAGCGGCCGAUGUGAUACCAGCUAGUUGGUGAGGUAAUGGCUCACCAAGGCUUAGACGUCUAGGGGGUGUGAGAGCAUGGCCCCCACCACUGGGACGUGAGAUACUGCCCACGACACCUACGGGUGGCUGCAGUCGAGAAUCUUCGGCGAAUGGGCGCAAGCC